This 804-nucleotide ribosomal RNA is filed under the name gut metagenome. RNAcentral describes it as "bacterial LSU rRNA". It matches the Rfam family "Bacterial large subunit ribosomal RNA", at positions 1275 to 2062 of the family's 2925-position model. The record is from RNAcentral.
GGACCGUAUGCGAGUGAGAAUGCUGGCAUGAGUAGCGAGAGACGAGAGAGUAACUCGUCCGCCGUAAACCCGAGGUUUCCUGGGCGAGGCUAAUCCUCCCAGGGUCAGUCGGGGGCUAAGCCGAGGGCGGAAGCCGUAGGCGAAGCGCAGCAGGUGGACAUUCCUGCACCGGAGAUGCGCCGUCACGACCGACGGGGCGACGGAUUGGGGUGGCUCGGCGGGGUUCUGGACGUCCCCGUGAUGGAGCGCGGCCCGCGGACCAGGCAAAUCCGGUCCGCAUGAGGGCGAGGCUCCGGACGAAGCGACUGAGCGAAGCGAGUGAGCCCGUGGUCCCCAGAAAAACCCCUAGGCAGGGGCAUCUCCGCCCGUACCGCAAACCGACACAGGUGGGUGGGUAGAACAUACCGAGGCGAUCGGGUCAACCAUGGUCAAGGAACUCGGCAAAAUGGCCCCGUAACUUCGGGAGAAGGGGCGCCGGCGCGUACGUGGACCCACUUGCUGGGCGAGCGGAGGCCGGCCGCAGUGAAGAGGCCCAAUCGACUGUUUACCAAAAACACAGGACUCUGCAGAAGGCGAGAGCCGACGUAUAGGGUCUGACGCCUGCCCGGUGCCGGAAGGUCACGCGGAGGGGUUAGCGCGAGCGAAGCCCCGAAGCCAAGCCCCGGUAAACGGCGGCCGUAACUAUAACGGUCCUAAGGUAGCGAAAUUCCUUGUCGGGUAAGUUCCGACCUGCACGAAAGGCGCAACGACUUGGGCGCUGUCUCGACCAUGGACCCGGUGAAAUUCCACUAGUCGUGAAGAUGC